This is a long non-coding RNA of Hypanus sabinus (Atlantic stingray), 594 nucleotides long. RefSeq lists it as uncharacterized. Lineage: Eukaryota; Metazoa; Chordata; Chondrichthyes; Myliobatiformes; Dasyatidae. The record is from RefSeq and is a predicted model, not a curated record. The transcript has 3 exons.
AUAUAUAAAAAACACGCCAGCUCUACUUCAGAAGUAGAAAGCAGAAAAUUUAAAUACUCUCUCAAGAACUUUUUCUAUGCAUUAUUAUUUCACAGCGCUGGAAAGUGGUCGCGAUGAGAUUGCAUGCAUAAUGCGAAAGUUCUGGAGCAGCAUUUUGCAGAAAUGGGAUCCAUAAGAGACGUUUGCAUUCUGGCGCUGGGGAAAUAAAUCGACAUUCCCUACGGGCAAAGUCUUGCAUUCACACGACUGACGAGGGCGAGGGACGAGAUUCCCUCAAUUGUAAAGUAGUUUGGCAGCCUGCUGAACCUCAUACCUGUAAGGAUCCGCCACUCGCCACACCGGCAAGUGAGUGCGGCAAACAAUACAGGGGACAACGCACACAAACAAGAGGAAAUCUGCAGAUGCUGGAAAUCCGAGCAACAGACUCAAAAUGCUUGAGGAACUCAGCAGGGCAGGCAGCAUCUAGGCAAACAGCCUGGGCAGGGGAGAAGUUCAUGUGGUCCACUAUUAUCAGUGUAACUAAAUGCUUUCCACCACCAGCACCAAGCAGCCAAGUUCAAGUUUUAAGAUUAAGCCCUCAUUUUCUGAUUCUCG